UUUUGGUCCGCUCUAAUGCAAAGCAAUUUUCUAUCCAGGUUGCAUUUGCCUCGCUUGCGGACGAAAUUAAAAAUCAUUGGCUUUAUUAUCCUAGCGCAUUAAGCAACCAAGUGUUUAUUAUUGCGCUUGAGAAACGUAAAACUACAGCU
Molecule: small nucleolar RNA, 149 nt
Organism: Rhagoletis pomonella (apple maggot)
Lineage: Eukaryota; Metazoa; Arthropoda; Insecta; Diptera; Tephritidae
Product: small nucleolar RNA psi28S-1192
Exons: 1
Source: RefSeq, a predicted model, not a curated record